UACAGAGGUCUCGAGCGUUAGGCGGAAUCACUGGGCUUAAAGCGUGUGUAGGUGGAUGCCUAAGUACCUUGUGAAAUCCCACAGCUUAACUGUGGAACUGCUUGGUAUACUGGGUGUCUUGAGUCACUCAGGGGCGAGCGGAACAAAUGGUGGAGCGGGUGAAAUGCGUAGAUAUCAUUGGAACGCCAAUGGUGAAAACAGCUCGCUGGGGGUGCACUGACACUGAGACACGAAGCCAGGGGAG
RNAcentral lists this ribosomal RNA (244 nucleotides) under uncultured bacterium. RNAcentral describes it as "partial 16S ribosomal RNA". It matches the Rfam family "Bacterial small subunit ribosomal RNA", at positions 524 to 768 of the family's 1533-position model. The record is from RNAcentral.